CCUACGGGAGGCAGCAGUGGGGAAUCUUGCACAAUGGAGGAAACUCUGAUGCAGCGAUGCCGCGUGAGUGAAGAAGGCCUUUGGGUUGUAAAGCUCUUUUGUAGGGGAAGAUAAUGACUGUACCCUAAGAAUAAGGUCCGGCUAACUUCGUGCCAGCAGCCGCGGUAAUACGAAGGGACCUAGCGUAGUUCGGAAUUACUGGGCGUAAAGCGCGCGUAGGCCGUUGAGUUAGUUAAUUGUGAAAUCCCAAAGCUUAACUUUGGAACUGCAAUUAAAACUGCUCGACUAGAGUUUGAUAGAGGAAAGCGGAAUACAUAGUGUAGAGGUGAAAUUCGUAGAUAUUAUGUAGAACACCAGUUGCGAAGGCGGCUUUCUGGAUCAACACUGACGCUGAGGCGCGAAAGUAUGGGUAGCAAAGAGGAUUAGAUACCCUCGUAGUCCAUACCAUAAACGAUGAUUGCUAGAUGUUGGAAAUUUAUUUUCAGUAUCGCAGCUAACGCAUUAAGCAAUCCGCCUGGGGAGUACGACCGCAAGGUUAAACUCAAAGGAAUUGACGGCUGAGAGNGCGACGACGACGACGAGGGAGGUAG
This 590-nucleotide ribosomal RNA is filed under the name uncultured bacterium. Its description in RNAcentral is "bacterial SSU rRNA". It matches the Rfam family "Bacterial small subunit ribosomal RNA", at positions 338 to 949 of the family's 1533-position model. The record is from RNAcentral.